Molecule: ribosomal RNA, 524 nt
Filed under: uncultured eukaryote
Lineage: Eukaryota
Description: SSU rRNA
Rfam family: Eukaryotic small subunit ribosomal RNA
Source: RNAcentral
GAUGGAUUCAGAUAGCAUGCAUGUCUAAGUAUAAAUGAUAUACAGUGAAACUGCGAAUGGCUCAUUAAAACAGUUAUAGUUUAUUUGAUAAUCGAAUUUACAUGGAUAACCGUGGUAAUUCUAGAGCUAAUACAUGCUGUUAAGCCUGACUUUUAGGAAGGGCUGUAUUUAUUAUAUAACAAACCAAUAUUCCUUGUGUCUAUUGUGAUGACUCAUAAUAACUGAUCGAAUCGCAUGGACUUUGUCCGCGAUAAAUCAUUCAAGUUUCUGCCCCAUCAGCUUUCGAUGGUAGUGUAUUGGACUACCAUGGCUUUCACGGGUGACGGAGGAUUAGGGUUCGAUUCCGGAGAGGGAGCCUGAGAAACGGCUACCACAUCUAAGGAAGGCAGCAGGCGCGUAAAUUACCCAAUCCUGACUCAGGGAGGUAGUGACAAGAAAUAACGGACCGAAGCUCACGCUUCGGGAUUGCAAUGAGUAGAAUUUAAACCCCUUUACGAGGAUCAAUUGGAGGAAGGGCCCGGGAA